This 241-nucleotide unclassified non-coding RNA is filed under the name uncultured Geomyces. Its description in RNAcentral is "sequence contains ITS2". The stretch from base 1 to 52 matches the Rfam family "5.8S ribosomal RNA", at positions 103 to 154 of the family's 154-position model. The record is from RNAcentral. Lineage: Eukaryota; Fungi; Ascomycota; Leotiomycetes; Myxotrichaceae.
AACGCACAUUGCACCCCCUGGUAUUCCGGGGGGUAUGCCUGUUCGAGCGUCAUUAACAACCCUCAAGCUCUGCUUGGUAUUGGGCCCCGCCAACCUGGCGAGCCCUAAAAUCAGUGGCGGUGCCAUUUGGUUCCGAGCGUAGUAAUUCUUCUCGCUUUGGAGGCCAGGUGUGUGCUUGCCAGCAACCCCCAAUUUUUUUAAGUUUGACCUCGGAUCAGGUAGGGAUACCCGCUGAACUUAA